RNAcentral lists this ribosomal RNA (497 nucleotides) under uncultured bacterium. RNAcentral describes it as "partial 16S ribosomal RNA". It matches the Rfam family "Bacterial small subunit ribosomal RNA", at positions 28 to 507 of the family's 1533-position model. The record is from RNAcentral.
GAUGAACGCUGGCGGCGUGCCUAAUACAUGCAAGUCGAGCGAACAGACGAGGAGCUUGCUCCUCUGACGUUAGCGGCGGACGGGUGAGUAACACGUGGAUAACCUACCUAUAAGACUGGGAUAACUUCGGGAAACCGGAGCUAAUACCGGAUAACAUGUUGAACCGCAUGGUUCAACAGUGAAAGACGGUCUUGCUGUCACUUAUAGAUGGAUCCGCGCCGCAUUAGCUAGUUGGUAAGGUAACGGCUUACCAAGGCAACGAUGCGUAGCCGACCUGAGAGGUUGAUCGGCCACACUGGACCUGAGACACGGUCCAGCCUCCUACGGGAGGCAGCAGUAGGGAUUCUUCCGCAAUGGGCGAAAGCCUGCCGGAGCAACGCCGCGUGAGUGAAGAAGGUCUUCGGAUCGUAAAACUCUGUUAUUAGGGAAGAACAAAUGUGUAAGUAACUAUGCACGUCUUGACGGUACCUAAUCAGAAAGCCACGGCUAACUACGUG